RNAcentral lists this small RNA (165 nucleotides) under Burkholderia gladioli. RNAcentral describes it as "Manganese sequence". It matches the Rfam family "Manganese Mn2+ riboswitch aptamer (yybP-ykoY)". From Rfam's summary of the family: This RNA was originally discovered in E. coli during a large scale screen and was named SraF. The record is from RNAcentral. Lineage: Bacteria; Pseudomonadati; Pseudomonadota; Betaproteobacteria; Burkholderiales; Burkholderiaceae.
CGCCCUGUCCUUGGGGAGUAGCCUGCUUCCUCCCAGAAGCGCCUGCAUCAACACGAUCGGUCUUCCAGACCGUGGUGCAGGCGACCUCCCGGUUGGCGAGACCAUCGACACAUCCUGCGACCGGUCGGGCGCAGUGAUGUGUCGUCGUCACUGCCCGACCGCGAG